RNAcentral lists this long non-coding RNA (1306 nucleotides) under Oreochromis niloticus (Nile tilapia). Its description in RNAcentral is "lncRNA (ENSONIG00000037112.1)". The record is from RNAcentral. Lineage: Eukaryota; Metazoa; Chordata; Actinopteri; Cichliformes; Cichlidae.
UUAGAUUAAUAAUUUUUUGCACAUGGCAGCCACAACAGUUUAGCUUGAAUAUUUGUUUUGUCCUGUUUCAGUAGUCACAAUUAGUUCAUACAAUUAACAUGUGAUAUCAUUUUAAUAAAAUUAUUAUUUUUUUCUUCUUUUUUGUUCACAGUGUGCAGAAGAAGAACAAGGACGAGAUCUCCAGUCUUCUGUCUCACAUCCCAACCCCCAUCCCCUCUAUCCUCUGUCCUGCUCCACCUGUUGUCUCUGCCUUCUUUCCAUCUGUAUUUCACCCUGUGGUUUGUGAGAAAUUUUGCCAAACCAAGAAUCUUAUUGCGGUUUGAUUUCAAAGCCGUGUCUCUCCUGCUCUGUCUGUUCUCUCUGCUGUGGUAAGUACAGUACACUCAGUACUGCACUGUUUUAUUUUUAUGAUGAUAAAAAAUACAUGUUUGACAUUUAAACUCACAUAUCAAGUCCAACAGAGUUCAAAGAAUAAAGAAAGAAAGAAAAAAGAAUAACCUUCGCUAUCAUUUAUAUUUGUUUAUGACGUUUUGCUGUUAGCAGCAGUGCUAACGCUAGCUUCAAUGCUAAUGCUAGCAACGAUGCUAAUGCUAGCAACAAUGCUAACGCUAGCUAUAGUGCUAACACUAGCACUAGCAGUUGUUAACUGACAAAAAGAAUAUUCCUGUGAUAUUCCUGUGAUAUUUCUUGGCGGUCAGUGAGACAAAAGUAACAAAUGAGCUUUAUUAUUGCCAUUGUGGCUCAGUUUUAACAGUAAGAGUGCUAGCGCUAGCAGCAUUGCUAAUGCUAGCUGCAAUGCUAACGCUAGCUGCAGUGCUAACACUAACUGAAGUGCUAAUGCUAGCCGGAAUGCUAGCGCUAGCAGCAAUGCUAAGGCUAGUAACAGUCGAACAGUAGCCUUACAUAAGUGGAAAUACUUCAGGUAAUUAGUUUGAAUUAUAAAAUGGUUGCUGUGUCUGUUGGUGUGCUAUAUUAUUCCAUAACCUGCUGACUAUAAGUUCAGUGUAUCAUGUCAUGUGGGCUUUGUAUUUCUGUUAGUCUGAUAAUACUGUACAGACAACUAACAUUAUUUCUCGUCUUACACUUUCAGGAACUUGACUGACAUCUGUGCUUUGCCUGGUAGGUGUGCACAUACUGUAAGAGAAGUAUACCAAAAUAAAAAAAUAAUCUGACUUUUAUAAGCUGUAAAGUGAUGGGUUCAAUCUUUCAUUCAAACUAGACCUUUUAAACACAAUUUUAUAAUAAAUACACAUAAGUGCAGCUUAACAAUUGGGCUAAAAUAUUUUUUUCGUACAUUUUUGUAGUC